GACCCCUAGCCUGGGAACUUCCACAUGCUGUGGGGGAGGGGGGGUGGGAGUGGGCAGCAAAACAAACAGACAAAAAACCAAAAACGCCUUGAGUAAGAUUACCCACCUAGCAGGUUAAAAUUGGCCUAGAGCUUUACCAUUAGUCUCGUUAGAAAUUAGAAUGGCCCCUGCAAGCAGGCAUGCGAUGUCUUCUGUGAAUUUGGGUAUGAGGCUGUGCCCUGUGUCAGGUUUGAUAGAAUCCUCUCAUAAUUAUGUUCCAUACUUAAAACUGUGCUCAAGACUUCUCUUUACCCAGAAACCCCAAGACUUAAAGUCUCAAAGAUCUGGAGGCACCCGCCAGGGGAAGAUGGCCACCCUGUCCACUGGGAGAUGUUGGCUGCAUAAAGGCAUUCCAGAAGGAAGAGGGCCAGAAGGGUUGGAAGGGACUCCUUUGUCGCUGCAAAUGGCAUUAUUUCAUUCUUUUUUAUGGGUAAGAGCUAGCUGCCAACGGAAGAGAGGCAAGAUGAAAACCUGCCUGCCAGGAGGGUCUCUUUCCUCCACACCCUGAGACCCCUCCUCAUUGCCCCAGAGAGCUAUGAAGUAGUUGUCACCUGGCCAGGGCGGUUCCUGGGUGGAGCCAAGCAGGGUGAGGUAAGAAGCACACCCACCUCUCCCCUCCUCCCCCCCUCAGCCCUCCAUUUACCAAGAGGUCUCAGGAUUCCCAUGACAGACGGGAGAAAGGAGGUUGGGUCGGCAUCCUCAGGACCACCUGGCACAUUCUCUCAAGCAGUCAGUCCUUCUACCUUUUGGCCGGAGCUUCUCUUGCUCACCAGAUUUUUUUUUUAAGUGGGUAGAGAGAGGAUUUCUGGGUUUGAGUUUGACUGAGGGUUGACUGACCUGAUUAACUUCUCUGUCCAUUUUCGGACCCCCAGCCAAACUGAUUUGAUUGCUCUUGGGCCAGUUGCCUGCCCCUGUCUCAGUCACCUGUAGCGGGGGGCAGGGUGAGGAUAGGGAUGGGCAGUCGCGGGCAUGUGGCUGCCCAGCAGCCUGUUCCACAGCGACUGCCUUGCUUUUCUUUCCUUCUUCCCACAGAAAUGGCAGAGGAAGGACUCCAGCUCAGAUCUGCCCCCUCCCUCCGGGCCCCGGGGCCACUCACGUCCUCCCACCCCUACUCUGCCGCCCUCCUUCCCCCGCUUCCUGCCCUAGAGAGAAGAGAGAGUGGCUCUGCGCACCUGUCCAAGAGUUCCCCGGGUGGGCCUGUUGUAGGGACUUCAAAGCAGAGAAAGAGGCCCUGAAAAACAAAACAAAACACAGAGCACUCCUGGCGCAGAUGAUUAAUAUUCAUUUAGGUCUGCCUAAAUUUGUAAUUUGCAGGGCUUCUGGGAACAGUAUCGUUUACAAAACUGGAUGAAACCCAUCAUUAUGUCCCAGAAAGCAUGACUGCCUUGGAGAGCACGCAGUGUUUCUGACUCUGGUUAGGAUCAGAGAAGCCAGGCCUGCACCUCUCUCUGCAUCCCCUCAGGAGACCCCCAGCCCUCUCAUUAGAGCCCCGAGCAGGCUUCUGAGGGGUCACCUGGAGCCCCUCUGCUUGUCAUCUAAGCAUCUACUUCUAAGCGCCCCCUUUUGCUAUGCCUCUCCCCAUGACAUGCUCACAGCCUCACAUUGAAGGGCACAAGGUUCGGCCUCCCUGGACAAAGCCUUUGAUGCACAACGUGACCUCCAUGCCCUGGAGCUGCUCUUUUCCCUCUGGCCUGGAAAAUGCUUCAGAGCAAGCACAGUGAAAGUGACCUGAUCAGAAGGCAGAAGACCAGGCCAAAUAGGCUCUAGCUUCUUCCUGGGUGUAUGUCUGAAGUAUGUAAUAACUUUAAAAAUGUCAUUCCUAACUGAGGUCCUAAAACUGUUUUUUAGUGGCUGAUCAUUUGUGACAUAACUGGCAACCUUGACACCUCACUACGUGGUGAAGAAAGAUGCCGUAAAGGAUUUCUGUGCCCCGAGGACACACAGGAUAGAACAGGGCUGCAUUAAGACAUUGGAGCCCUAACACUCACACACUAGGUACUGGCAACAAAAAGAGAAUAAAUACAGUGCCUGCCCUUGGGGAACUCCCCACUAAAAUACCUCCCACUCCCAUCUCCCACCAUUGAUUAUUUAAGUUAAGCAGUGCUACAUGCCAUAAAAACAAUGAACAAAAACAUACUUCUUAAAAAAACAAACACUGCUUAUUGGUCAUCAAAGGAUGACAUGACUGAGCUCAUCAAUGAGCACAAUUUGAGGCGGGACCAGAUUCAACGUCCUUAUCUAACGUCCUUACCCACCCACCUACUUUCCUACUAUUUGUGACUUCCUAUCUUUGUAUCUUGGAGGCUUUUGGAUCAUUUAACUCUCCUCCUAAAGAGGCAGCCCCUGAAGCUCUUGUCAACCUACACCUUAGACACCAGUAACCUCAGCUGAGUUAGGCAGAAAUAAAUAUAGUCACAGGAGAGGAUGGCAGAUAAUGUGGGUUGCCUGACCCACACUCCAUUCCCAACCUAUCUCCUACUAGUGCCUUUUCCCAUGAGACACAAUGCUAGAUGAUAACACAUAGAUGGAACUCUGCUGUGAAGUUCUUGAUCCUUUCUCCAUUCUUCCUGUUGUGAAUAAGAAUUUGAUGGUUGGUGCUUCAGCAGCCAUCUUGCAAUCAUGAGGUAAUGAUCAAAAGAACCUUCAAGACAUUAGCCCUGAUGGCGUGGAGCUACCUAAUUAUCACUAGCAGCCAUUAGCCACCUCCAGACUUCUUAAGUGAGAAGAAUAAAUCCCUAUUGCAGCCUCUAUCACAGGUUUACCCUUAUUUUCAGUUAAAUCUCUGUUGACAAGUAUACAUAGAUAUCUGGAAAGUAGGAGGGGAGCACUGCCAUAGCUAUGCUUGCCAAGGGACCGAAAAUAGAUAUUUCUGGAGUAGUUUCUAGACUCAGACCUGCUGGAUAAAGGGCAGGGUCCUGAGUGACUCAGAUCCCUACUUUUAGACAUGGUUUUCAGGACAGCUUGGAGUCCUGGGUUCCUGGAACAUAUCUGGUGCUCAAAGAAAUACUAUUAUGAACCAAUACUGGGACUCUCAGAGUCCGGCAUCUGAGAAGUGCCCUAUCUAACAACCAGUGUGUCACUUAAAUUUUUUCUUGAAUAUCUUGAAGUGGGCUCGUUAGGCCAGAGAAAAAAUUCUUAAAAACCUUCAUUUUUUCUCAUAACUACUUCCCUCGCACACUGUGGUUCAUUUUCUCAUGCCCAAAUCCCUCAAGAGUCUGGGGGAAGGUGAGCAGAGAGUUCUAUUUUGACCCUGUCCCCUUUGGUCCCUCUUUGUGGGCAGGCUGCCAGGCAGGGCCAGGCUUUCCCUGCAGUCAGGAGAAGACUGUGCCACUAGGAAAGCCAGAGUCCUCUCUCUCGGUAGUGGAGGAGAUGGACAGCCUGGAGCACACCUCCGCUAGUGAUGGACCAGGAAGGGCAGGAGGGGAGGAGGGAAUGGACUCUGCUCUUCCCCUGACACGUCCCAAGCCCUGGACAGGUCACUCCCCACUGUGAGCCUCCGCCUCCUUAUCCUUCAAACUCGGCAUUCAGCCUGGAUCAUAAUAAGGGCCCUUUCCGAUUUUUCAGCGUCUAGAUUUCUCUCAUGGGUGUGUUCCUCCUACCCAAUUUCUCUUGCUCUUAAGCUUCUCCAAGGAAUUCCCAAGUCAUACAAGGAAUGUAUCUCUGAGAAGCACAGGGAGUUACUCCUGGAAAUGAAGUGUUGAGAAGAAGGCAGAGCUGGGAUCCAACCUGGGUUGUUUGGUGCCAGUGUCUGGGCUGCUCCACGGAGUCCUGCCAGGUUGGUUGGCAUCUGAGGGAGGGAGGGGGAGUGGGGGGCAGCACCUGAAGUCACUUGUUCAUCCUGUCCACAGCUCUGGGGACAGGCUGGGAAAAGUGAAAGAGACGGUAUGGUGCUGGCUUUGAUAUUGGACACUGUGGAGCCAAGUCCUGACCCCUCCACUACUGUGUGACUUUAGGGCAAUUUCCUUGAUGUCUCUGUGCCUCGGCCAUCAUCUAUAAAAUGGGGACAUGCCCAUCGGGUGGCAUUCUGGAGGACUAUGACCUAGGAAAUUGUGCAGAGCAGUGUCGGGUGCUCAGUAAGCCUCUCUCGAGCUACAAAUGGAUGGAGUAUCAGCAGAUUCCAUUCUCCGUGUUGCCCCUGCAGUCUAGGUCUCAGUUCCCAGCAGUGUCCAGCUAGAGGAGGAAAGAAAGAUGCUGCUCCUUCCGCAGCCUCUGUGGACCGCAGGGCUGAGGAGCUGUCUAGUCAAUAUGGAUGAGGUGGGCUGUGCAUCUGACUGGCCAGAGAUACAAAAUCUCUCUUGAAAAACCAAAGAGCCACAUCUUAAAGGCUUACCACACAAGCCCAAAUCCCCAGAAGAGAAAAUGCAGGGUAAAAAUAACAUUUUAGAAAAGGCAUAGGGUGGUCCACAGGGGGCCUCGUUUAUAUAACCAGUUUGUCUUGAUUAUGCUAUGUAAGCCAACUCUUGGAAAUCCCCAGAAGGCAAUUUAGGAGGAAAAUAAUAGGAGGAGGACCCCGGUGGGGGUAGGGGUGGGGGGCCGGGAAGACGUGGCUGCUCUCCCUGCACAGCUGAGGCCAGCCUGCCUGGGGCAGGGUCUCUGCGUUCAUUCAUUCCUUCCAUACUCGUGAGGUGCUUCCCAGGUGCCAGACAGGGGACAAGACAGACUAGAUCUGACCCUCAUCGAGGUCACCUUCUUCCGAGAAGAAACACUGAAUGACAGAGACUAAUACCUUGUGAACAAAUGCUGGGGGUGAUGUGGGGAAAUGGGAGGGCGAGCUCCAACACUUAAAAUGGCCAGGGGAGGCUUUUUUCUUUUCCUUCCUUUUUUCUUUUUUUCUUCCUUUUUUCUUCCUUCCUUCCUUCCUUUUCUUUCUUUUUUUUUUUUUUUUUUUUUUUUUUUUGUCUUUUUAGGGCCACACCCACAGCAUAUCGAGGUUCCCAGACUAGGGGUCGAAUUGGAGCUGUGGUUACCAGCCCAUGCCACAGCCAAAGCAACACGGGUUCUGAGUGGCAUCUGUGACCUACACCACAGCUCACAGUAAUGCCGGAUCCUUAACCCACUGAGUGAGGCCAGGGAUGUAACCUGCAUCCUCAUGGAUACUAGUUGGUUUGGUUUCCGCUGCACCACAGCCAGAACUCCCUAGGCCUGACUUUUCUGAGGGUGAUGCCUGGAGGAACCAGAGCUGAAAGAGAAGGAGGGCUUCUCAUGCAGAAGGAGUGGCAGGUGCCACGGCCCACAGGCAGGAAUGAGCCAGUGGCAUAGAUGUCCAUCAAGUAGAUGGGAAGAUAGAGCAGGGCAGGAGGAAUGGAAAGAGGGCCCUGGGCAGGCCUGGGAGCAGGGGCAGUGCCCCAGAUGAGGGGGCUGUGGGCAGGCUUGGGUCCCAAGAGCCUUGGAGACCAUCUAAGAUGUGAGCUAAGGCUAUGGGAAGCCUGCAGGUGGGGUGGGAACGGACCCGGAGUCAGUUACGGUCAAGGUCAGCAAACAUUUUUGGGUACCAGCUGUGGGCCGUGUUCUGAGCUAGAUGCAGGGAUGUGAACCUCUUCAGUUCUCCCAUGCCCUAACCAGGGGCUGUCUCAAGCCCUCACCUCUGCCCUCAAGCUUUUGGCAGAGGUGGACCCACUGGGGUUUACCAUCUGCAUCACAAGGAAGACAGAAGUGGGAGGCUGAGAUCCCCAGCUGCGUGUGCUCGCAUCCUGCCCUCUGGGACAGUGAGGGUGGCCGGAUUCUGUGCCUCCUCCCUCCCGCAUCCUGCACCCCUGCCUCUGCACACCACCCGCUCCCUCUGUUUUUAAUUAUCCUCAAAAUCUCUCACCUAGAAAAGCAAAGAAACAACCACAUCACCCCACUUUUGCCUCUGCUCUAUUUCCUUUUCCCUCACAGACAUAGAGGGGAAGAUUGACAAGGUCCCCUGUCCACUGUGUCUCCAUUUCCUCCCACCCCCCCCCAUCCCCACCCCCCGCAGGCCUAGCCACACACACAGCUCCGACAGCCCACAGCGUGAUGUGGCGGGCUCACCUCCGCGGCCUCUGACCUUCUGGAAAGCUCUUCCUGGCCAUGGCCCAGCCAUCUGCCCCCACCUGCUUCCCCUCUGUAUUCAGCACUCCUCCUACUAUGCAUCACUCCUUCAUUGUCCGGGCCACCCAGACCUGCCACCCCUCAAAGCCUCCUAGUCCUUAGCUGCAGUCCUGGCACAUAGUAAGUGCUCACAAAAUAUUCAGUCAAUGGAUGGAUGGAAGGCACGCUCUCUGCUUUAGGGGUUUGCCUUUUAUUGAAAGAGCCAAGUGGUACACACAUCAUCACAGAGCAUAAAGUGUCAGAAGUGAUGCAGCUCUUACACAGGCGUGCCGAGGGCAGGGGCACAGUCCUGGGGCAGAGCUCACCCUGCUCGGGCAGUGACGUGUCCAGGCGGCUGCGAACUGCCUCUGGUGGCAGUGCACCAAAACGCUCCCCAGAACAGGCAGGCCGGCAGCUGGCUAAUGCUCUUCAGUACCCUGAAUGUAAAUGGAGCUGUGUCUGUGUGAAUAAAUAUCCUACAGUCCCUUGUAACACUGGAGAGAGGAGGCGGCCUGAUGGCACAGCCCAUCUGGCAGCUCCAGCCCCACCAAAGACACUUGUGCUGUCUUCUUCUCAGCACAGGUCCAGGACCCAUUCUGGUAAAAAAUAAAGUCCAUGUCACAAGUUGCGGAGUUGCUUUCAUGCCCCAGGACCCCCUGGCUUUGCCUUUCUCAGCCACAGGAUCUUAAUUCUCUGGGCCUCGAGUCCUUCACCUGCGGAAGGAGGCAUAGUAACAGCAUUUCCCUCAUGCACUUGCUGUGAGCGCUGAACGAAUUAAUCCGUGUAGUAUAGGUCUGCACUUACAACGUGCCGGCCCUCGGAAAGACCUGGAAAGCGCCAAGUGUGAGCUGUGACUGUUUUCACUACCUCUGUGAUUUGGGGCGUUUGUGAUCCUCUCUGUACAUGUGUGAACACUCUUAAUAGGAUUUGAAAAAUGCAGGCGGCUGGUUUCCUGGGGGCCAUGGAUUAGAGACGGGUACCCCUGGGAGGUGGGGUUGCCAGAUGUAGCAGAUAAAAAUGCAGGGUGCGUAGUUAAAUUUUAAUUUCAGAUAAGUGGCAACUCAUUUUUUAGUACGCAUAUGUCUCACGCAGUAUUUGCGAUAUAUUUACACUAAAAAAAGCAACACCGCCAGCAGAGUUUUCUCAGGACAUUUACCCUCUGACCCAGUGGCCCGUGGUGGUGGGAGAGGCAGGAGCGAGGGUAUAAAGCCUAAGGGCCCAUCCCGGAGGAGACUCCUGUGGCCUGAGGCCUUGGCCGUGACUUUCCCUGUGUUCCUCCCAGUGUCCCCUUAGCUGACUGAUGGGCUGAUUGACAGGGUGGGCCUGAGGCUUUGGGUGUGACUUGAGGGGCCCUGGAAGGCUCUAUCCCUCAGCAUUUCUAGCUCACAUUUCCCUGGAAGCCUGCAGGCUUCACCACCAGAGAACUGGUGCCCCCAGCUGUCUGUCCCCGGCGGUGGUGGGGGGGGCCUUCAAGGUGGAACGGCCCUGAGAGUGGCCCUGUGUACACACCCACCAAGCCACCAUCAGCCCCAGAUGGGCAGGAUCUGAGAGCCUUGCAGGGUGUGGCUAGCCAGGAGCUCUCAGGGGCUCUGGAUCACAGGUUUGAAUCUGGAUUCUUCCGCAUCCUGGAGGGAAAACUCAGCUCCACUCAUUGAAGUGUGUUUAUUCUCCAUUUUCCCACCACCCAUUACAGCCUGGCAGCCUCAGAAAUGGCUCCCAGUGACUCUUCUGCACACCUUGGUGCAGGACUAAAUGUGAUGAGCUUGUGUCACCUGCCACUGAGGGCACUGGGAGAGGGGAGAGACAGGGCUUCCCCCAGAAUGGCCUGUGGCGGAGGGAGGAGCUGGCCACUAUUUGGUGAAAGCGAAUUGGCAAGAUAGCAAGAGCUUAGAGGAGCUUUCUGGCUUCUCCCGGAUGCUUUCUGCGCCCUAAGAGGGACAUGGGCCUGGAGGGGUCAUGAGGGCAGGAAUAUGGGUGUCUCAGUAGUAAACAGUAUAAACAGAUCAACAACAAUGGUUAUUGAGCUCUCUGUGUCUGGUGGUGGUCUCCACACCUUACAGGUAUUAAUCCACUGUCUCCUCACAGCGGCUUCUUCUGUAUCCCCACAAGCAAGCCGAGGGUGGAGGGUUUCGCUUAGGAAGCACCAGAAGGUCUACUUUGAAGCCUCAGCUUCAAAGAUCCUGGGUGAGAGGAGCGGCUUUUAUAGUGACUGAGGGUAAAUUUAUUCAAGUCGGAGGAGAUGUAGACUUGAACUUCACGCUAUUUCAGGAAAAAAAAAAAAAAAAAAA
RNAcentral lists this long non-coding RNA (8378 nucleotides) under Sus scrofa (pig). RNAcentral describes it as "lncRNA (ENSSSCG00050037498.1)". Lineage: Eukaryota; Metazoa; Chordata; Mammalia; Artiodactyla; Suidae. The record is from RNAcentral.